UUCGAUCCACCCUUGUGUAUUUUUACACAUACUUGAAUAAAAUCAAAAGAUUUUUCAUUUCAUAAGAUAAAUACGAUAUAAAUAUAAGAUUUAAUAUUUCUUUAAGAGAAAUUCAUCAAUUUAUUCAAUGAAUAAGACUAUAUAAUUCAGGGGGAAAAUAAUAAACACUUGUUGUACGCGCUAAAGGACAAGCUCGAUCAACAUAACAGAAAUUUUAACUUCAGCAUCAAUAGAACAUUAUGGCACGUUGACAAUUGGCUCUGUCACAACUCAAACACAACAUAUUAGGAGUGAUUGCAAGCACUUAAUUAAGGAAAUCAACCCUGGAAUAUCCAAAGCGACGAGCAUAAAUCGAUAAAAGCAUCAAGCAUUCACCAAACUAGAGGGGACAGCGACAAAACUAACCCUCAAAUUACUUGCAAAAGCAAGACUACAUGUAUAAGCAAGACUAAAAAGCGUAAUACAAGAGUAGACAAAAACUUUUAAAAGUGAAGGCUUAUUAAACAAUGGAAAAAUAAAUGAAAAACAUAAAAAAACUUAAUAUAACGCGAGUCCAAACUGACUCAUGAAAUCAUUUAUUAUUCUGAAACUCUCAAAACAAAAAUAAAUUAAGAAGUUAACGAAGAGUUACCCACUUUCUAAAAGAAACUGUCGGUGGUGUUUCAACAAUGAUAGACACAUUCAUCUGCCCAUCACAACUUGUGAAGACAACAAAGAUAUCCACAAAAUAGAUUUGUAAACUGAAAAGAGAGAAGACACAUGGAGUGAAUGAGAAUAAUAAAGAAAAAAGGGUUGAUGGGCGGGAGAAAAAGACGGAUGAUAGCUAGCUCAGAAGCUAACACCGCUACUAGGUAAAAACAAAAAGAAGCAAACGAUUUGGAGCAAUUGUUUCAAUGUAUUGAAGCUUUUUACUCAUUUCUUUAUAUGAUUGCAAA
This 935-nucleotide long non-coding RNA is filed under the name Gossypium barbadense (sea-island cotton). RNAcentral describes it as "long non-coding RNA (GBAR_LNC021297)". Lineage: Eukaryota; Viridiplantae; Streptophyta; Magnoliopsida; Malvales; Malvaceae. The record is from RNAcentral.